UACGUAUGGUGCAAGCGUUAUCCGGAUUUACUGGGCGUAAAGGGAGCGCAGGCGGCGCGCCAAGUCUGAUGUGAAACCCCGGGGCUCAACCCCGGGCAUGCAUUGGAAACUGGCGGGCUGGAGUGCCGGAGAGGUAAGCGGAAUUCCUAGUGUAGCGGUGAAAUGCGUAGAUAUUAGGAGGAACACCAGAGGCGAAGGCGGCUUACUGGACGGCAACUGACGCUGAGGCUCGAAAGCGUGGGGAGCAAACAGG
RNAcentral lists this ribosomal RNA (253 nucleotides) under uncultured bacterium. RNAcentral's name for it is "partial 16S ribosomal RNA". It matches the Rfam family "Bacterial small subunit ribosomal RNA", at positions 524 to 776 of the family's 1533-position model. The record is from RNAcentral.